Molecule: ribosomal RNA, 468 nt
Filed under: uncultured bacterium
Lineage: Bacteria
Description: partial 16S ribosomal RNA
Rfam family: Bacterial small subunit ribosomal RNA
Source: RNAcentral
GACGAACGCUGGCGGCGUGCUUAACACAUGCAAGUCGAACGGAAAGGCCCUGCUUUUGUGGGUUGCUCGAGUGGCGAACGGGUGAGUAACACGUGAGUAACCUGCCCUUGACUUUGGGAUAACUUCAGGAAACUGGGGCUCAUACCGGAUAUGAGCUCCUGCUGCAUGGUGGGGGUUGGAAAGUUUCGGCGGUUGGGGAUGGACUCGCGGCUUAUCCGCUUGUUGGUGUGGUAGUGGCUUACCAAGGCUUUGACGGGUAGCCGGCCUGGGAGGGUGACCGGGCACAAGGGGACUGAGAGACGGAGCAGACGCGUAAGGGAGGCAGCAGGGGGGAAUAUGGCAGAAUGGGCGGAAGCCAGAUGCAGAAACGCCGCGUGCGGGAUGACGGCCUUCGGGGUGUAAACCGCUGUCGCCUGUGACGAAGAGGGAGUGACGGUAAUGGGUAAAGAAGCACCGGCUAACUACGUG